RNAcentral lists this long non-coding RNA (1778 nucleotides) under Malus domestica (apple). RNAcentral describes it as "long non-coding RNA (MDOM_LNC015620)". The record is from RNAcentral. Lineage: Eukaryota; Viridiplantae; Streptophyta; Magnoliopsida; Rosales; Rosaceae.
CGUUGAAAUUUGAUGUGAAGUGGGCCCCACACCUAAUUCCCAUUUUUUUCAAAAAAUGGAGAUCCCUCCCCUUAAGCUCUCUGCAUAUAUAAAUACUAUAAAAUCCGUACAAAACAAUAAUAACCCCCUGUUCAAAACCUCUAUAUAUAAAACAUCAUACUACAUAUAUACGUACAUAGAUAAAUACUAUAAAAUCCGUACAAAACAACAUGUAUCUCAUAUCCCAUAAAUCAUGUAGUUCCAAAUUCGUAAAUAACCAUCAUUAUAAAGCAGUAUCAAACUCAUAAUAAUACAAAUCAACAUUUUACACCAACGGUAAUGCAAACCACAUGCCUAAGUCGGGACUCAAACCCAAAUCAUAUGUACCUCGCCGGAACUCUAACCCGAAAUGUUGGGACUUUCACCUAGAAUAUGGAUAAGUUAGGACUUCAACCCACCCCGGGACGCUAACCCAGUUAUAAAUGGAGUUGGGACUCUAACCCAACCUUGGGACUUUAACCCAUAAUGAAUUUUAUGACAAUAAUGUACUCUACGGUUGUAGGAAAAAGGUACCAUGACAUGAGUGUAUGCAUACCAAAUGGUGUAUAAGAAAAUCAAAUGGGUAGAAAAUGCAUGAUUAUGCCUAUUAGUGAAACCAUUAUCUCAUAAAACCAAAUUCUCGCAAUAGUUUGCAUAUUCGAAAAUAAAACCACAAUCCUCAAUCAAAUAUCAAUGAUAAUCACCAGUAAACCACAUAUAGGCAUGAUCACAAGUAUAGCCAAAACCAAUCGAAAUCAUUUGUAAAUAUAUAGAUAUAUAAGAAAGCCAUUGUAACAAAACAAAGUCCACUCACAGGAACUCCGUUUGUCCUAAUUGUAAAGUAAGGUGUAAUUUGUUAUGAUUUGGAACUAAUCAAAUUUUUGUUCAAUGCCCGUAGAAAUUUCCAGUGUGCACCACUUUAUUUUUAUUUUAUUUAUUAACAAAGUCAACUUUCAUUAUGAUAAAAACUAGUACAAGGUCCAAAAAGGAUCGGGAAAAUAAUUAUAGGAAAAGUAAAGGGCCCAAGCAAAAUGAGAGCAUCAACCCAAGAGACAACGGGAGGCCCACACAAGCUUAGGUCCGAAGGCAACAAAAAACAUACAAUAAAAAUCCCUAAUCUCCAGUAGCAAAGACCACAUCGUCACCGCCGUCACGUCCUUGGAGGAAGCCAAACUCUAAACCGAGAAAGUAGACACCAUAUCCAAGUCCCCUUCAUGAACCCCUGCAAAUAUGUACAAAGUAACAUACGGGUAGAGAGUGAGGCUAAGGGGGUAUGUAAAAUACCCAACACUUGGCCUCGAUGGGGAUCCGGCAUAGGCAUGCCGAUUGGGGGAGGGAAAGUGAAGGAGGGUAGUAGAUUUGGUGUCCAAUUCCUUAUCGAAGCCCGCCUAUCCGAGUACAUGGUGGGAUGGGGAUGGAGUAUCACAGCUAAGAAAGAGGGAGGACAGAAAAUAGAAAGACAGAAAGCAGUAAAAGUAGGAAAAAGAUGCCGGAUAAGGGGCAUGAAGCCCAGAUCUGAGACAAGCUCAGUGGAUAGUUGAGACCCAGCUCAAGAAAAAUUAAGCUAAACUCAGAGAGAAUCGGAAAUAAAAUGAAAGGAGGAAAAUGGAAAUAGGAGAUAAAGAGAUCGACGCAGGGAGGGGGAUGGAGCAAGAGGAAGUGAGAGGGGAGGAAAAAGAAGAAAAGGAAAAUGAGGGAAGGAGGGAAGGAGAGAAGGAGGAGGGAAAAAGGAAACUGGAAAGAGGAUCAGGUAGCGGGUU